GCCCGUUUAGCUCAGUUGGUUAGAGCGUUUGCUUUACACGCAAAAUGUCGGCGGUUCGAGUCCGUCAACGGGCA
RNAcentral lists this transfer RNA (74 nucleotides) under Caudoviricetes sp. Its description in RNAcentral is "tRNA-Val". It matches the Rfam family "tRNA". Rfam says of the family: Transfer RNA (tRNA) molecules are approximately 80 nucleotides in length. Their secondary structure includes four short double-helical elements and three loops (D, anti-codon, and T loops). Further hydrogen bonds mediate the characteristic L-shaped molecular structure. tRNAs have two regions of fundamental functional importance: the anti-codon, which is responsible for specific mRNA codon recognition, and the 3' end, to which the tRNAs corresponding amino acid is attached (by aminoacyl-tRNA synthetases). tRNAs cope with the degeneracy of the genetic code in two manners: having more than one tRNA (with a specific anti-codon) for a particular amino acid; and 'wobble' base-pairing, i.e. permitting non-standard base-pairing at the 3rd anti-codon position. The record is from RNAcentral. Lineage: Duplodnaviria; Heunggongvirae; Uroviricota; Caudoviricetes.